This is a long non-coding RNA of Marmota monax (woodchuck), 4551 nucleotides long. RefSeq lists it as uncharacterized. NCBI's taxonomy places the organism in Eukaryota, Metazoa, Chordata, Mammalia, Rodentia, Sciuridae. The transcript is spliced from 2 exons. The record is from RefSeq and is a predicted model, not a curated record.
GUGGUGGCAGGGCUGGGCUGCUUCCUUCCUCGGAGGCCGCGGCCAAGAGCUUAUUUUGCAGCCUGGGCUUCCUGGUUCUCAUCAUGCCGCAGUAAACACAGGGAGGACCCAGACGCAUCCAAAGCCUCGGUGGUGACAGACGGCAACCAGGUGACGCCAGCUCCCCUAGCCAGGACCCAGGGAAGGAAGGUGUGGGGACAGGUGGCUCCUGUGUGGAACAGGAGGCUCAGGCUCCCAGAACCCGGGUCUGGAACUGGGCUGCUGUGGGGAGGGAGGCCGGAGAGGCGCCUGUCAGGGCACAGACCAGCGCACCGCGAAGAAGAGACAGGCCUCGCAGGUGGCACUGGGAUCCGGGUUAGGGUGACCACAGGCUCCACCUCAGGCCAGGAGCUGCUCCUGGACUGGACCUCCCAAGAUCGGCUUCCCAGAUGUCACGAAUACAGACAAACAGCUCUACGUCCAUGCCCACGCCUCGUCCCUCUCACCAUCCAGGGGCAUGCAGUGGAGGAGAGGUGGCCCAAGAGCUCCCCUUCAGAGAGGGCGGGAGGAGGAGAGGGAACGGCUGCUGGGCUCAGCCUGCUCCAGGGCCCGCGCCCCUCAGCUCCAGGCUUCGCAAGGUCCAGCUGUCCCUCCACACCCUGCAGGAGCGCAGGAUGGGGAACACUGGUCUCUACUAAGCAGAGAAGAAGAAACAGCCAUCUUCCCUUAUGGGAGUAAAAUACUGAUGCUUCAAUUAAAGACAAAGCAAUUCUGCAAAGGAUCAAAACAGCAGAAACCCAGAUCAGUGUGGCAGAAAGUCGAGCAGAUGGGCCUUGGAAGGCCACUGGCCUGCAUCCAAACUCCAGCCCAGCAUGCUGCGAUCUGCACACGUCCACUCCUGCAGCCACCAGGACCACCAUACCAGAGACACUGACCAUGCUGCAGGCAGGCUGGUGACCAGGCUCUGGCCCUUUGGAGCCACCAGGUGCCAAAAUGCACAGUCCCAAGAGGAAGCUGGGAAAGUGCCACCAGUACACCCACUGCCCCUCUAGGCAGCAACAGACCAGGCCACUCUGCCCACUUGGCACGACAGUUCACACCCCUAAGAAGGGCCAUUUCACCAACCUUUUCUAGUUACCAUGCCCUCACCACCCUGUAAGCACUAACCUGUCCUGAAGUAAAAACCAUCAGGGUCAAGGGCGUGGCCUGCUCCUCUAAGGGCCCAGCGAGGGCAGACACAUCACAGAGGAGCUGGCCUACACAGCAACACGCACCAACCCUGAGCUGUGAACCUGGACAGCUGGGGCACCUGGCUGGUGGGUGGUAUAGGAGGCUACCUGGGGCAAAGACAGCGGAUGUCGGAGUGGGCAGAAGACUGGGAAGGAUGGUCCAGUGGGCCCCAGCCAAAGUCCACGCACUUCAGGAUGGCACUCCCCCAGGGAGCCAGUGCUACCGACACCACUCCUGGCACCCAGAGGGCCUGAUACACAGCAGGCGCUCAGAAGACUGCUCACCCACUGCAGGAGCAGCCGGGACAGGACCACGCACCUCAGGCUGGGCCAGCAGCACACACAGCACACCCGGGUGCCUGCUCGGCCCUCAGGAGGCACAACACAGACGCUCUUCCGCCCCCAGGGAGGAGGCACCACGGCAGUUCAGGGGAACUGUGAGGCUCUAACGGCACAACCUGGGACAGGCCAGCACCAGGGCUGGUGCCCACCGACGCAUGGACAACGAGGGUCCCAGUGGCCACCAGAAAUGCAGGAGCAGAAGAGCCAUCAGAUGCAUGCUCGGGGCGGCAGUGCCCAGGUACCAGCUCCAACCUCUCACCUAAGGAGAGGCUGCACCUUCAGGAACCUCGUCAACCAGCCAACGGAAACAGAACACAGGACCAUGACACCCCGGGAACUAGCAAACGCUGCAAUUCAGGGCUCCCCACCUCCCCAGGGGCCGGGUGUGGGGCAUUUACACCACAUCUCACAGCCUGCCAACGCACCUCAAGGGACGAGAGGCUGCGGAGUGGGAGACUCGUUUUGAAGGAGAAGGUAUCACGGGGAGAAUGCCAUUUUGCAGUGUUAAUGUUCAACAUGGGGAAUCUACUAGGAAAGGCGCUGCACUCGCAGAGUGAAGGUGGGCCCACGGCCAUCUCGCGGAGGCAGAGAGCGCCACGCAGUCAGUGCUCCUACUGUCCAUGGCCAGCCAGGGAGAGAAGGGAGCAGGGAGCUGCUCCAGAUGAAGACUGGGGUGAGGGCCACGUCAGCCUGAGGCGCCCAAGGUCAAGGACAGACGAAGCUGCUGCCAUGCCACUGUCCAGACCUCACAGCCCACCGGACACCAGAGACGCUGGGCACCGAUGGGGAGGAAAAGCACCAAGGUCGGGGAGGAAGAGGCCACCACAGGGUCCUCUCUCCAGCAGCCACGGGACCGAGCAACAGCUCCGAUGGCCACAGCAAGCUCCUCGGAGGGACCCUGGAGUGGGACAAAGCAGGCUGUCCCACGACAAGGCCGCUCCAGCCGACCUCAAGCCACACAAGGUCAACUCCACACAGGUCAGUCGGCUAACUGGAGAGCAAACGCGGACCGUGUAGGAGAAAGGAGAGCAGGACCGCGAGGUGGAGAGCUCCUCUGGAACACAGGACGGAACAGAAGAGACACCGCCCACGUGGAGGUCCAGAGCCUCUCCUGGGAAGACUGAAAACAAAUCCCAAGGCCAAAGAGCUAAGCCAGAAAACUGAAGGAGCAGAACCUGCAGGGCCCCUCUGGUGUCCUGGGCAGGGCCGGCACCUGCCCCGGGGCCUUCUCCAGACGGCACUGCCUCAGGUGUGCAGGGACCUCCAGGUGCUACGCCCUGGAGCCUGGAGCUGGAGAGGCAGGGCAUUGCCAGGAAGAGCCGUCCUCCCUGGGUGGGCAGAGGGAGGCGGGCCCUGCCUGCCCCUGGCCCGAGGCUGUGCUCCCGGGGGUCCCACUGUGGGCUUGUUUCUUUAUUUUGGAAUUUCAGGCUCGCGGGAGCUGACAGCACCCUUGUUUUCCUGCUGCUGGGCUCUCUGCUCCCAGGCCUCCCAGAUGGACACGAGGAGACACGCAUAGGGACAUGGACGCCUGCGGAAGACCCUGGGGUCACAAAGCACCCGACCACUCACCCCCUCCAGCCCUCCAUCCUGGGGCAGGGAGACCUCCAAUGCGCAAGCAGCUUCCCACAGGGACCUGAGCCCUGGGAGCAGAAUCCCACAGGAGCACUUCCCUCCUGCCUUAGCCUUGGCCCUGAGAAGCCGGUCAGGAGGGCGAGGGCUCCUCCCCCACCCUGCCGAGGGUGCUGGCCAUUUCUUUCCCACCUGGGGCUGCGUAUCGACCAAUGGUCACCCUCUACUCCCUGGGAUAUGUGAAGGGCCCAUGGUUGUAAGCCUGGGGCUAGACAGGAGAACUCAGGAGUAUGAUGCCACCCCCUGAGCUGGGCCUUCCCUGGCCGGGCCUCCCCACACCCAUCUGGCCAUGCCCGGGCUCUGUGUGCCAGUCUGUCCUCACUCGCAUCCCACCUCCUCCCACACGAAGGCAGUACUCCAGAUGCUCUCCGUCUCUUGCCCUGUUCUAGCCCAGAGCCGGUCCCGAGUGGUCCUCAUUCUGGAGCUGCAACCCUGUCCUGCAGGAUCCGAUCUGGCCAGGAUCAAGACAGGAAGGCCCAGAGCAGAAGAAAGGAGACCGGCAGGCGCUGCCCAGGGGAGGCCCAGAGCUGCUCACAGGGAAAGGGAGGGUGGCGGUUCCCAGAAUGGCGGCCUCCAGAGAGCCCCUCGAGACUCCAAGGAGAUUAAACUCACUUAACUGGCUGACCACCAUCCGGCUUCCCAGAUCCUGAGCCUGUGGGCUCCCAAUUCCUCACCCGAAAACCAUGCCAAUGAGACCUUCACCGGGGACCGUGAGGAGUGACCGACCCCAGGAGGAGCCAGUGCUGCUGAACCAGAGCCGGACGCUGGCCUACGGCGCACAGACCACCAGCAGGCAGCACGCUCCUCAGGCGCUAGAGGGCAACCCACCCUGGACACGGGAGGGCUCUUCGCCCACACCCUGGGCCUGAGCCACCUCGCACCCACCAGAGCUCUGAGAGCCUUCGUGAUCCUGCAAAAUUAUGACCCACGUGUCAACAACGUGGACUGGCUUUCUCCCACAGCUCCUGCGUCAUCACUCCCUGCCCAAGAAGCCCAAGGCGGGUCACACGUCCCCCGGCUCCCCACCCUUCGCUCACCCUGCAAGACCCCACUUCAGAGGGAAGCACACAACACAGAGGCCAAGCAGACUGCCCGGCAGCCCUGGCCAGUUCUCCACCACGUCCACCAGCAGCUGUGCCCACACAGCAAAGGCCCCACAAAACCCCACAGGACAUGGCUCCAGACCGCUGUACAGCUGAGUGUGGAAGCCACCCACACGCCAGGAGGGGCGCACCCAGCUCUUCGGGGAUGCAAGCUCCUGACUCGCGACCCUGCCAGACCCUGCCAGACCCGACCCUGUUAGGAUCUCUGUGCAGCUGCUUAUCUGUAUCCCUUAGAACAACCGGUAAAUACAAUGUUUCCCUGAGCCUUA